Long non-coding RNA from Physella acuta, 794 nucleotides. RefSeq lists it as uncharacterized. NCBI's taxonomy places the organism in Eukaryota, Metazoa, Mollusca, Gastropoda, Physidae. The record is from RefSeq and is a predicted model, not a curated record.
UUUUCACGCGCACAACGCUAAUAUUACCGUGUUAUUCAAUCCUGUCCACACAAUAGUUAAAAUACUCACUCUCAUAUUAUCUAUUUUAUGUGUAAGUGACUUGACGAUAAGUGCUUGUGUAGUUGAUGUUUUACGUGGAAAAGUGACGAAAUAAUUAUCUUAAUGUAAAACAGAAGUAAUUCUUUUAAAUAAAGGAAACAAAUUCGUUCGUCUUUGAAGUCGGCGGAAAUCAAGCGAAGCGACACCCCGCACAGGAAUUAGAACAAGGAGUAGCAAAAGUUGGUAGAGGGGAGGGGAAAAAAAACAACACCCGCCAGGAGGGGACAGAAGAAGUGGGGGCGCCACGCAUCGCUCGGGGGUGGCGACAGGAUAUAAAGACCACGGCUAACAGUGUGGAUGGACUCAUUAUUAUAGGGUUAGGGGAAGCCACUCCGGUAGCUGCAAACAACGCGCUGCAAAAUUUUUUGAACAAUCCAAAAUUUUCAUUCGUCCAUCAGUACAAGGAAAUAUAAGGACUAAAUUUUCAACUUUAAACAUUUUUGAAACUUCAUACACUUUCUGUAUUCAUCAACUUGAUACACGACAGAGUAUUUUAAAGUCCAUCUAAAGGUUGAUUUCUAAACAAAUUCCAAAAUAACACAAGAAGAUUAGUUUAGAUAUAGUUGAUUACAAUUUUAGCUGAAAUUUAGAACGAACAAUUAUUUUUCUUUAUAAUUUCACAUUAGAAAAUCGUAGGAUUUGUAGCGAGAAGAGAUUGGACUUUCCUGGAUUUGUUCCUGAGAACACAACAAAAA